Molecule: transfer RNA, 73 nt
Filed under: Chlamydiales bacterium
Lineage: Bacteria; Pseudomonadati; Chlamydiota; Chlamydiia; Chlamydiales
Description: tRNA-Asn
Rfam family: tRNA
About the family: Transfer RNA (tRNA) molecules are approximately 80 nucleotides in length. Their secondary structure includes four short double-helical elements and three loops (D, anti-codon, and T loops). Further hydrogen bonds mediate the characteristic L-shaped molecular structure. tRNAs have two regions of fundamental functional importance: the anti-codon, which is responsible for specific mRNA codon recognition, and the 3' end, to which the tRNAs corresponding amino acid is attached (by aminoacyl-tRNA synthetases). tRNAs cope with the degeneracy of the genetic code in two manners: having more than one tRNA (with a specific anti-codon) for a particular amino acid; and 'wobble' base-pairing, i.e. permitting non-standard base-pairing at the 3rd anti-codon position.
Source: RNAcentral
UCCGGAUUAGCUCAGUUGGUAGAGCAACGGACUGUUAAUCCGUUUGUCGCUGGUUCGAGUCCAGCAUCCGGAG